This 468-nucleotide ribosomal RNA is filed under the name uncultured bacterium. RNAcentral describes it as "partial 16S ribosomal RNA". It matches the Rfam family "Bacterial small subunit ribosomal RNA", at positions 28 to 507 of the family's 1533-position model. The record is from RNAcentral.
GACGAACGCUGGCGGCGUGCUUAACACAUGCAAGUCGAACGGAAAGGCCCUGCUUUUGUGGGGUGCUCGAGUGGCGAACGGGUGAGUAACACGUGAGUAACCUGCCCUUGACUUUGGGAUAACUUCAGGAAACUGGGGCUAAUACCGGAUAGGAGCUCCUGCUGAAUGGUGGGGGUUGGAAAGUUUCGGCGGUUGGGGAUGGACUCGCGGCUUAUCAGCUUGUUGGUGGGGUAGUGGCUUACCAAGGCUUUGACGGGUAGCCGGCCUGAGAGGGUGACCGGCCACAUUGGGACUGAGAUACGGCCCGGACUCCUACAGGAGGAAGCAGUGGGGAAUAUUGCACAAUGGGCGGCAGCCUGAUGCAGCAACGCCGCGUGCGGGAUGACGGCCUUCGGGUUGUAAACCGCUUUGGCCUGUGACGAAGCGUGAGUGACGGUAAUGGGUAAAGAUGCACCGGCUAACUACGUG